GUUUGAAAAGAGGUGAAAAUAAGCCAAAAUCCAAAUUUUGAAAUAACCUUGACCUUUGACCUUGACCCUAUUUUCUUUUUUUUUGGACCAAGGACCUCAAAUCAAAAGAACCUAGGUCUCUAUCACUUAUGGUUUACCAAUAAUAAUUACAUUUUACUUAUUUUAAAUACAGAAGGGGAUAUAACUCUCAUAUGGAGUUUCCAGACCGCUUCAGUCAAAAUUAUUUUUAAGAUCCUGAGGAUAUAACGAGCAUAUUGGUGAAAUAAUUUUGUUGUAAUCUUUAACGGUUGCGAAGGAGAUUUGUACACAAGAAAAACAGUGUUUGGGGAGAUAAUAAAAUAAUAAUACUAUAAGUGUUCGGCUUAACAGGGUCAGUUUCAAAAUCGUAAAAACUGUUCGAUAUCAUACGCAAAAAAUCUACGCGACAUCUUGCGAAACAAAAAAGCACCGUCAGAAAAAAGUGUCGG
This 467-nucleotide long non-coding RNA is filed under the name Mytilus galloprovincialis (Mediterranean mussel). The record is from RNAcentral. Lineage: Eukaryota; Metazoa; Mollusca; Bivalvia; Mytilida; Mytilidae.